This 253-nucleotide ribosomal RNA is filed under the name uncultured bacterium. Its description in RNAcentral is "partial 16S ribosomal RNA". It matches the Rfam family "Bacterial small subunit ribosomal RNA", at positions 524 to 776 of the family's 1533-position model. The record is from RNAcentral.
UACGAAGGGGGCUAGCGUUGCUCGGAAUUAUUGGGCGUAAAGGGCUCGUAGGCGGUUUGUCGCGUCGGGAGUGAAAACACCGGGCUUAACUCGGUGCUGGCUUCCGAUACGGGCAGACUAGAGGUAUUCAGGGGAGAACGGAAUUCCUGGUGUAGCGGUGAAAUGCGCAGAUAUCAGGAGGAACACCGGUGGCGAAGGCGGUUCUCUGGGAAUUACCUGACGCUGAGGAGCGAAAGUGUGGGGAGCGAACAGG